UUGAUCCUGGCUCAGGACGAACGCUGGCGGCGUGCCUAAUACAUGCAAGUCGAGCGAGCGGAACUAACAGAUUUACUUCGGUAAUGACGUUAGGAAAGCGAGCGGCGGAUGGGUGAGUAACACGUGGGGAACCUGCCCCAUAGUCUGGGAUACCACUUGGAAACAGGUGCUAAUACCGGAUAAGAAAGCAGAUCGCAUGAUCAGCUUUUAAAAGGCGGCGUAAGCUGUCGCUAUGGGAUGGCCCCGCGGUGCAUUAGCUAGUUGGUAAGGUAAAGGCUUACCAAGGCGAUGAUGCAUAGCCGAGUUGAGAGACUGAUCGGCCACAUUGGGACUGAGACACGGCCCAAACUCCUACGGGAGGCAGCAGUAGGGAAUCUUCCACAAUGGACGCAAGUCUGAUGGAGCAACGCCGCGUGAGUGAAGAAGGUUUUCGGAUCGUAAAGCUCUGUUGUUGGUGA
RNAcentral lists this ribosomal RNA (458 nucleotides) under uncultured bacterium. RNAcentral's name for it is "bacterial SSU rRNA". It matches the Rfam family "Bacterial small subunit ribosomal RNA", at positions 13 to 445 of the family's 1533-position model. The record is from RNAcentral.